GCCCCCGUAGCCCAACUGGCAGAGGCAGGCGACUUAAAAUCGUCCCAGUACGGGUUCGAAUCCCGUCGGGGGCA
RNAcentral lists this transfer RNA (74 nucleotides) under Actinomycetaceae bacterium. RNAcentral describes it as "tRNA-Leu". It matches the Rfam family "tRNA". From Rfam's summary of the family: Transfer RNA (tRNA) molecules are approximately 80 nucleotides in length. Their secondary structure includes four short double-helical elements and three loops (D, anti-codon, and T loops). Lineage: Bacteria; Bacillati; Actinomycetota; Actinomycetes; Actinomycetales; Actinomycetaceae. The record is from RNAcentral.